RNAcentral lists this long non-coding RNA (2307 nucleotides) under Homo sapiens (human). RNAcentral's name for it is "HSALNT0402974". The record is from RNAcentral. Lineage: Eukaryota; Metazoa; Chordata; Mammalia; Primates; Hominidae.
UGUCUAUAAUGAACUUCAUUGCUGCUUUUUAAAAAUUUUUCCUUUUGAUAAGAAAUUAAAGACUGAUUUCCUCUCUACAAAAGAAAAUGCCACUUUAUUCCCCAUACACACCCUCUCUCUUAGUAAAACAACUCUGAUUUUUAUAGCUGGGCAUCUUGCCACCCAGUUAAAGAUGUAUUCCCUUGCAGCUAAAUAAGGCCAAGUGACUAUGCUCUUGCCAAUAAUAUGUAAACUGAAGUGUAGCAAGGUACUUUUGGGAAGUCUCUUUAAAAAGCAUCAUUUCUUUUGUAUUUGUCCCUUCAUCUUCCUGCUACUCAAGAUGUGCAUAUAAUGGCAGGCACUUCUGUAGGCAUUUUGGAUCAUGAAAUGUCUUUGAUGGAAACUAAGAAAAGUAGAGAAACAGAAUUGAAGGUUUCACAAUUCUAAAACCUUUGUAAAAGUUUUGUAAAAGGUUUUACAAUUGAAGGUAAUUAAUAUUACACUAUUAAUUAUAGUAAAGGUCAUGCUUCUGUGGAAAAAAAAAAGAGUCCCUUGACAUGAUGGUUCAAACAAGUUAGGAAAGGCAGACUGUGCUUCUCAAAAUCAGCCAGAGAAUCAGACUGGCUGAGCACACUGCCAUCCUCAAUGCAUGGCUUCUAGAUUGCUUUAGCCUUUAUCAUUUGAAGCCAAUAGGAAGCAAGGAGAACAUCAAAGCACAUAAUUAAUGACCGAAAGCAUCCAUCACUUCUGCUCAAAUCAUUUUGGGAAUGUCAUAGUCUUCUUGAUCACACUUGAAUGCUGGGGAAGCUAAGCAGUGUAGUACAACUGGACAAUCAGUUCCUGUGUCCAAGAACUUUUUAAAGACAGUAGGGUAGAAUGCUUACUUGUAAUCAAAAAGCAGUCUCCACCAAAACUGUAGGUCUUCAUAUUCUAUCCAGAUGGUAAAAAGUUAACUUUUCUCUUGUUUAGCUUACUACACGCCGGGCCUUUAUUAUUUAUAGUUGAACAUCAUCUUCAUUGAUAUACCCCUUUUAUGUUUUUUCAAUGAACCUCAUCUGUAAAUCAUUAACUGGAUUAUUAGAUAAGUGCUAAAUAAUCCCCAGCUGUAAAAUUCUAAGAAUAAUUAAAACUUCCUUUCUUAACAUUCUUAGUGAACAACUUACAGGUUAAAAAACAAACCCAAAGAGAUUAUUUCCUGCAAAGAGCCUUUAGUAUGGUAGCACCUACUUCUAGAAGGCCUGUCAUAAACUGUCAUCUAGUGAAAGUGAUGAAGAAGAGUGGCUGGGAGUCAAUCUUAUCAGGAGCUGGAACAGGUGAAGCCCUCACCAGUGAAAAAUCUUGACAGAUGCAGCUACUAAGAUUUCCUACUACAAAGAAUAACAGCAGUUAGAAAAGCAGACUCCCUGUGGUGGCGACCAGUAUCUUCAAACUCAUACCAGAGUAAAGCCUUAUCCAUUUGGAGUUCUUUCUGAUGCAUUAUGUGAGAAAAACAAGCAAACAAAUGAACACUUAUUUGUAUUUGAAUUGCACUAAAUUUAUACAUGAAACUGAAAAAAACUGAUAUCUUUAUGAAGCUGCAUAAUCCUAUCCAAGGACAGACGUCUCCUUCCAUUUGCUUUUGCUUUACUAAUUUGAAUCUAUGUUAUUUGUUUUGGAUACAUCUGGAAUUGACUUUUUUGCAUGGUGUAAGAGCCAGCUCUUCUUCAGGAUAAGCAUGCCUGGUUUCUUCAACUUAUUCCACAAGAGUGAACAAGUAAGGUCUCCCCUGGACUAUUGUGUCUUCUACCUGAAAGUCAAGACUUCUUGCUGUCUUCUCUCCAUUCCAACCUCCAUGGGAAGAAGAGAUAAUAACAUUUUCUGGCUGUAUAAAAAAAAAGUACCAGGAAUUUUUUGUUGAUUGCAGAAAUAACAGUUCUUCCUGGAUCAGCCCUCUCCCGUCUGUCAUCUCCAACAGAUACAAAGCCAGCUUUAAGAAGACCAAACCUACAAAAAUCAUUCAUGCUUUCUGCCUCCAUGUUUUUCUUUCCAACCUAGUUCCUCCAGAAAAUGUAAAAGAGCAACCGAACCGUCAACUGGUACAAUGACUUCUACACAUCAGACCUCGGCCACGCCACAGUCAUCAGAUUAUUCUAUCACAGGGUCUCUCAACCGUGGAAUAUGGUCUCCAAGGGAAACAAGCCACAGAGGGCUCAGGAGCAUUGCUAUAAAGAGUAGGCAAAUGGAAAUCUUUCCCCAAAGGGCACACUGGGAUUGUUAGGCGAGGGCUGCUCAAUCCAUUAAAAGUUUAAACUCGAAAAAAAAAAAGAAAAAAAAAACCUUUUGAAAAAA